Molecule: long non-coding RNA, 704 nt
Filed under: Ananas comosus (pineapple)
Lineage: Eukaryota; Viridiplantae; Streptophyta; Magnoliopsida; Poales; Bromeliaceae
Description: long non-coding RNA (ACOM_LNC004308)
Source: RNAcentral
UUUUUUUCCAUUUUUUUUAUUUGUUUAUUCAUAUCUUUUUUUUUGGUCCAAAUAUACGAAAUUGAUCACGUCGAGCUUGUUAUGAAGAUGGCGAUGCUUAUCACGAAGAACCGUGCCUAUCAUGAAGAUGGCAUAUGGUUCGAGAAAUGCCUAUCACGAAGAUGGCGAAUCAAAACCAUAUUCGUCUAUUUUUUAUCAUUUUUAUUAUUGUUUAUUUUUUUAUCACGUUUUGUUCAAGUACGCGGAGUUUAAUUGUGUCGAGCCUAUCACGAAGAUGGCCACUCGAUUAAUCCUUUCGACCAUGUCGAGUCUAUCACGAAGAUGGCCGCACGAUUUACAUAGUAAAAUAAACGGUGCACGAUCAACCGUUUUGACCAUAUCAAGCCUAUCGCAAAGAUGGCCGCACGGUUUACGUAGUAAAAUAUCCGGUGUUCGAUCAAUCAUUUUGACCAUGUUGAGCCUAUCGCGAAGAUGAUCGCACAAUUUAGAGAUUAGCAAUACAUACGCACGGAGGAAGUGACGAUUUGAUGUCAAAUUUAACCGAUUUAAAACCUAUCACGAAGAUCGUUGGGUUGAUCAAACCGAUAAAAAAUCACACUUACGCUAUUCGUAUGUAUGAAUUUCUCUUAUUGUCGUAAAAGUCGUAGUGAUCGUCGUUGCCGUCAAAUGCAAGAACCAAAGUCUCUUUUUUUUUCUUUUUUUUU